RNAcentral lists this ribosomal RNA (500 nucleotides) under uncultured bacterium. Its description in RNAcentral is "bacterial SSU rRNA". It matches the Rfam family "Bacterial small subunit ribosomal RNA", at positions 28 to 525 of the family's 1533-position model. The record is from RNAcentral.
GAUUAACGCUGGCGGCAUGCCUAAUACAUGCAAGUCGAACGGAAGCAGCAAUGCUUUAGUGGCGAACGGGUGAGUAACACGUGGGGAACCUACCUAUACGACGAGGAUAACUACUGGAAACGGUAGCUAAAACUGGAUAGGAUCAAUUGAGGCAUCUUGAUUGAUUUAAAGAUCCUUCGGGAUUACGUAGAGAUGGCCCUGCGGCGCAUUAGCUAGUUGGUGAGGUAACGGCCCACCAAGGCGACGAUGCGUAGCUGAGCUGAGAGGCUAAACAGCCACACUGGGACUGAGACACGGCCCAGACUCCUACGGGAGGCAGCAGUAGGGAAUUUUCGGCAAUGGGGGAAACCCUGACCGAGCAAUGCCGCGUGAACGAUGAAGGUCUUCGGAUUGUAAAGUUCUGUGAUUGGGGAAGAAUGGUAUUCUUAGGGAAUGAGGAGUACAUGACGGUACCCGAUUAGAAAGCCCCGGCUAACUAUGUGCCAGCAGCCGCGGUAAUU